Molecule: long non-coding RNA, 893 nt
Organism: Gallus gallus (chicken)
Lineage: Eukaryota; Metazoa; Chordata; Aves; Galliformes; Phasianidae
Source: Ensembl
GUACAGGACUCUGGUAUUACAUUACAGCUGCUGCCUGGUUAUACAUCCGUGUGAAUAGGAGGAAAUAAAUACACGUGAAGAAAUACCAGAAGGACCAAAAAAUGGGGCCCAACAUUGGCAAUUUCUUGUUUGGGUCUUGGGGUGGGUGAAGCAUUGGCACUUGGACCUGACCAACCAUGGAAGCAUCUCGUCUCAAUCUGAGAGGAGGGAAGAAAUGCAACCUCUGGAGCAUGCCCAGGCUCUGGGCCCUGGGAACUUGGCAGGCUGCUGGAGAGGUCAGAAAGAGCCUGGGGCAGAAAGCUUCACUCUGAGAUGGAAGUGAAUGUGGAUGAGGAAUUCUAGAUGAGUCACAGCGGUCGGAGCGGACCCAGAGGAGAUGGAGGCGAGGUCAACCACUGUGCUUUGCCGCAUCCUUUCUGUCGGAGGAGACAUCUGCUAAAACCAGCUGUGGCAGCGGCUUGUGAGUGAUGGAAGGCUGGACUCAAGACUGCAAUUCAGCUCAUUAAAAGCACCCCGGGGGCUGCUAUGGUUAUUUGCCCCCUGUAGUGCUGGCAUUUUUCAGGCCAGGUCAGAACUCAUUGCUCCAGGCUCUGCGCUCUCUCCAGGCUCUCCCCAUCCUUUGUCCGAAGGCACGUCUUUAGUCUGUUCCUCGUUUUAUCCACCACCUCGAAGGCAGAGACCUGUGUCUGAGCAGACUCCCAUCCCCUGCCCUGAACAAAUGUGGUCAGCGUGAAACGAAGCCCAGAGCGGCAGCGCGUUCCCCUGUGAGCAGACGGAAAGUUUCAAAGGCACAAAGGGUAUUUAGGCACUGACUUCAAAGUCAGUAAGUUGGAUGCUGAAAAAAAAUCUCCCCCGUAGCCUUUAUGUCAUGCCACUUAAUAAGUAAUUAAAAG